This is a non-coding RNA of Schistocerca gregaria, 74 nucleotides long. NCBI's taxonomy places the organism in Eukaryota, Metazoa, Arthropoda, Insecta, Orthoptera, Acrididae. The record is from the annotation of a RefSeq genome assembly.
GCCAAGCUGGCGUAGUGGCUAACGCAUCUGUCUGGUAAGCAGGAGACCCGGGUUCGAUUCCCGGCUUUGGAACA